RNAcentral lists this ribosomal RNA (503 nucleotides) under uncultured bacterium. Its description in RNAcentral is "bacterial SSU rRNA". It matches the Rfam family "Bacterial small subunit ribosomal RNA", at positions 64 to 579 of the family's 1533-position model. The record is from RNAcentral.
GAACGAGACGGAUAUUAGCUUGCUAAUAUUGUCAGCUAAGUGGCGCACGGGUGAGUAAUAUAUAGUUAAUCUGCCUUGGAGAUGGGAAUAAUUGAUGGAAACGUCUUGUAAGACCCGAUAUGCCUUUAGUACAUAAGUACGCAAGGGAAACAUUUAUGGCUCCAAGAUGAGACUGUACAGUAUCAGUUAGUUGGUGAGGUAAUGGCUCACCAAGACUAUGRCGCUUAACUGGUUUGAGAGGAUGAUCAGUCACACUGGAACUGAGACACGGUCCAGACUCCUACGGGAGGCAGCAGUGGGGAAUAUUGCACAAUGGAGGAAACUCUGAUGCAGCAACGCCGCGUGGAGGAUGACACAUUUCGGUGCGUAAACUCCUUUUAUAUGUCAAGAUAAUGACGGUAGCAUAUGAAUAAGCACCGGCUAACUUCGUGCCAGCAGCCGCGGUAAUACGAGGGGUGCAAGCGUUACUCGGAAUCACUGGGCGUAAAGAGAAUGUAGGCGGG